ACGUUGAGCUUACGCCGGAAGUGGGCGUGUAUUGGCGUCUCCGGGCGCCGGGGAGAGGCUGGCCUAACGGUGUUUAAGCCUUUUGCGGGGCUCCUAGCACUCGUAUGUUUGUUUGCAGAAAUGAUUACGUGAGCACAGAGGGCAGAUUGCAAUGAGGAAAGCAUAUUAUCCAGUUUGUGUCUUUCAAAAGUUCUUUUUCCUCUAUGAGUCACGGCAUAACCACGUUCUUGCUGGUAAUUCGAUCACUUGGAGCUGUGCACAUCUCUUCCUGGCAAACUUAGUAACAAAGGAAGAGCAUACCUGUGUGAGACGGUUUUCUUCACAUACUUAAACCAAAUGCAUAUGGCAAUAGAUCCAAUGCAGAGGCAGAUGAGUGUCCAGUUGUUUUCGACCGAGCUAGACCUUACGGAUGUCACAAAAAGAUGGCAGCCGCUUAUACAUUUGCAAAUGUCACCCAGAAAACUGCCUUGGAGCUGAGGCGUGCGAAACAAAGGCAAGUCCUUGAGCAGAUCCUUCAAGGAGCUUACGGGGAGCUUCAGGGAGCUACUUAGGUCAAAACGUGGAUCCACGGUUCUUUGAGGUAAGAUAAGAUUGGUUCUGGUCCCUCCGGUGCCAGUAACCUGCACCAGGAAAAUGGACUUCUGUCUUCAAGUCUGUAGCUGCGUUGGAGAUGGUAACAAGAUUCUAGAGUUCUGAAAAACGUCAUCGUGACAAUUCUUGCCAGCUUGUUCACUGCUUUUAUGAAGGGAUGAAGGUUUGGAGUUGUCUACUCUGCUGUUUUCAGAGACGUCUGUCCUGUGGAGAGAAUGGGUGACACGGGUGUGGUAUUCCUGAUUCCAACAAAAGGGCAGCAUCCAGUCCAGAUCCCUUCCGACUUAUCUGGGAGUCUUGAGAGUUGGAUGCCUGAGGAGAUUUGUGGCCGAGCCCUGGAAAUCAUUGACCUGCCCCUUCUGUGGGGUCUACUCUGAGGAACCCUAUUCCAUAACGUACGCACCUUCUGUCCAAGGCGCCUGGGCUCCUCGGUGAUGCAGACUGACAAGAGGCUUUUCAUCCACUCCGGGUGCUUUCAGUUCUCCCAGAAUAAGUAAGGCCAGGAAAACCUGGUAGCGGGACGUUUGGCGGACCUUUUCAGAGAGUUGGACUCUGGAGUCGAGCACUGAGCAUGGGCCUUAGGUCGGCAGGUUUGUGUGUGACCGUGACAGAAAACCGGAAAAGACUCAUCUCUUCCUUUUACCUGCACUGUUUGAAGACCUCUGCUUGACAUCUUGCAAACAACUUAUGCUUCCCCUGCCUUCAGCAUUUGGCGAGAAAGCACCAGACGGGCUAUUCAUUUCUCGCCAGCAUCUUGACAUUUCUCAGAUACGCAAGAUCCGGAUCAACACGGCCCUUGGGAGGGUGGCUGAGACGAAGGUGCUCACGCCUGCGCCAAGCCCGUGCUGCUGUAUGCUCGGAUUUUAUGUGAAUGUGAACUUGGGUUCACUAACCACCACCGACUGUCUCACAUCCUCUGAGACAUGUGAGGUGUCAGAAGCGUAUGUCUGGUCGAGUCCGGUAGAGACUCCUGAGACAUUCCUCUCCACCGCUGGCAUCCUGGCUUCUCCACUUCACUUCUGGCCGCAACGAUUAGAAGAUGGAAACAGGAGGGAGGUAGAAAUGGGAUAUAGGUACUUGCUUGGCAUCUGUCCAUUGUCAAGGAACAUUCCCUGUGUCUUCAGAGCUCAGAUUUAGUGUUGGGAGCCUCACAGGAGGAUGUGAAGUUGUGUUAUCCGAACCCAGGACUGUUCUCCACAUGCACCGAAAGUUGCAGAAGGACGGAGCUGUGAAUUGCUGCUUUAGAAGGAAACCAAGAGCUAGCCUGUGGACAGUAUCCAGGAGGAAUCUGUGUAAAAUGCCAAUGAAAAUACUCCCAGUCAAAACAUGAGGUGUGUGGGUGAGCUGCGAACAAAGAAGACGUCAUCACAUUGAAGGCUCAACGUGCCAAGCGAGAAAGAUGACCAAUAGGCAGAUGAAGCACCCAACUGCACAGGCUAAAGGCGGACUCCGAAACAGAAGGCUUUCAAAGGGAAAGGAUUUGCAAAGACAAGAAGGAAGUCAGAUUUCAGAAAGAUCUGCUCCCCCAGUAGAGAACCUGAUGUUGAAGGUCUUACAAAAAUGAAGGACUUCUCUCUACAUAUCUUCGGUUCAGAUUCCUUAUGUGGUAUAUACUCUAGGGGCAGUUUAAAUGAAGUAAAGCAAGAGUUUAAGAGGAGCCAGAGUAUUUCUGCCUGAAGUGAUCAGGGCUGACUUUGCACAGAACGCGACAUUUGGACCUCACCUUUAAGUAAAUUCGAUUUCAAUUUGAUAUUACGAUGACUAGAAACACCAUUGAUGCAAAAGUUGGAGCAGCCGUGGUCAAGGAAAGUUUUCAUGACAAGGUUGACCGAUCUUGACCGUGAACAAAGAUGAACAACAGGCUUUAAAUGUCGUGUGUGCCGGGGGAGCCUUUCAUCCAAGACUUCCCAAUAACAUUCUGGAUUAUAUUCAAAUGAGAUUAAACAUACCGUCCCAGAGACACCCUGACAGGAUUGAAGGGAGACAUUGCCGGAGGCAGCUGUGGUCGUGGAAGUGAAUUACUCUGCCGGUCCCGCCCCACACGGACCCUGUUUACCUGAAUCUGUUCUUUGCUUCUUCCCUUCUGACUGAAUCCUUGUAUCGGCCAGGGGGGGCCCCCAUCCCUCAGACAGCCCAGUGCCUCGAGGGAAGCUGACUCCCCCCCCCCCCCAGCUCCAGGGGUGAGCCUGCUUAGUUACAGCCAACCCUGUACUUACACUCUCACCAGUAGAUUGUUCAGAAACCCACUUGGUCUGUUUCCUCCGACUAAGUGUAAACUCUGCGAGAAUGUGGAUGUUCAUCUGUCUUGCCAAAGAACCUAGAACGGUGCCUGGCACAUAGUUCUUAAUAAACAUUUCGCGAAUUCCUUUUCUCAUUCCUCUUCAGCAAACUGUAAAUGAACACCUACUACCUGUCAGGGACUCUUCUGGAUGCAAAACUACACAAGACUCAAGAAGUCUAGCAAGGAAGACAGACAUACCAACAAGUCUCUAGUAAUAUACCAUGGUUAACGCUGUCGUGAAUUACACAUACAAGGCUGGAGGGGCACGGAAGGAGCAGCCGACUUCCUCCGGGGAACUCACACGAGGCUUCCCAGCACUUCUUCCGGCACUUGGAGCAGAUCUUCGAAGAUGAGCAGAGAUUUUCCAGGUGAAGCGUCAGACCAACUGCAGUGGGGCCACGUCAGCUGUUGACCAAACCAGGGCAUUUGGAGAGUGAAAGGGAGGCUCCUAAUAACUACACUGAAUGACAAGUGUAAGCAGAGACCGUUCUGGGCAAACCAAGCCACGUGGUCAGUCCUGGAAGAAGGAGGAACACGGGAGAAGGCGGGGAUGGUAGAAACACCCCGGGGAAGGCCAGCACUCUGGUGCGUCGGAGUAAGGAGUGUGGUGCAGUUGGAGGACGGGCUGUGGCUGGAGCGAAGGGUGAGGGAUACGGUGUGAGGGACCUGUUCUGGUGAGCCAAGAACUCCGACUCGGUCCGCCAGCAUCUGGGACCUGUGGAGCUUUCUCAGCAGGAGAGCACCGUGAUCAGAUUUGCAUCUGGGGACAAGAGUUCUGCCGGGCAUGUAGAGAAAGAACCGGAGGGACGCAGACUAAAGAGCAGCCAGACGGGAGGCUGGUGCCGCGGCUCACCAAGGGAGGAUGGGCCCCUGAUCUCAGGCAGCACGGAAGGGUGGCUUCAGAAGGCAGGACAUACUCGAGGUAACGCUGCCGUGGAAUGAACUUGCAUGGAGGGCCAGGGGGUGAGGAGCAGAAGAAACGGAUGAUGCUGAAGUUUCCAGACUGGGUGAUGGCGGCUUUUGCUGUCCAUUCCCAUACAUGGUGACAAGCGGAAAAUGACCUCAGCUGCUUGGCAGACGGAGAGUGGCCAGGGAGCAGAUACAGGAAGCUGAAUCGUGUAGGGGCCAAGUGCCAAGGCAAGAGGCCAAUCCAAAAGCUGAGUCACUGUAUCCAAGGGGUCAGCACGGGUGGAAAAGAAGGAGUCAACGUGCCUCCUGGGACCAGGGAGGUCCGUGAAGGAGAAGUAUUGAAGCAGAUGGGCAGGGAAGCAGGUACCCGAGGGCAGAUCCAUGGAAGGACAGAUAAGACAUGCCCCCCUACGGUUGGAGAAGUAGACCGGGCGGCAGAAGAGGUGAACCUGUAGGCAAGUCAACAUAAUAGGAGUGAUCGGUGUGUUCGGUGCCCAGGGGAGGAAGGAACUCCGCAUAGGUGAACAAAUUGGCAUUGUUUUGUCUACAAGCCCUCGGUGAUU
This is a long non-coding RNA of Herpailurus yagouaroundi (jaguarundi), 4344 nucleotides long. RefSeq lists it as uncharacterized. The record is from RefSeq and is a predicted model, not a curated record. NCBI's taxonomy places the organism in Eukaryota, Metazoa, Chordata, Mammalia, Carnivora, Felidae. The transcript is spliced from 8 exons.